GACGAACGCUGGCGGCGUGCUUAACACAUGCAAGUCGAACGGAAAGGCCCUGCUUUUGUGGGGUGCUCGAGUGGCGAACGGGUGAGUAACACGUGAGUAACCUGCCCUUGACUUUGGGAUAACUUCAGGAAACUGGGGCUAAUACCGGAUAGGAGCUCCUGCUGCAUGGUGGGGGUUGGAAAGUUUCGGCGGUUGGGGAUGGACUCGCGGCUUAUCAGCUUGUUGGUGGGGUAGUGGCUUACCAAGGCUUUGACGGGUAGCCGGCCUGAGAGGGUGACCGGCCACAUUGGGACUGGGAUACGGCCCAGACUCCUACGGGAGGCAGCAGUGGGGAAUAUUGCACAAUGGGCGGAAGCCGGAUGCAGCAAAGCGGCGUGCGGGAUGACGGACUUCGGGUUGUAAACCGCUUUCGCCUGGGACGAAGCGUGAGUGACGGUAAUGGGUAAAGAAGCACCGGCUAACUACGUG
RNAcentral lists this ribosomal RNA (468 nucleotides) under uncultured bacterium. RNAcentral describes it as "partial 16S ribosomal RNA". It matches the Rfam family "Bacterial small subunit ribosomal RNA", at positions 28 to 507 of the family's 1533-position model. The record is from RNAcentral.